UGAGCAAUCUGCCCUUCACAUCGGAAUAACCAUUGGAAACGAUGGCUAAUACCGAAUAUGACUUCGGAUCGCAUGAUCUGAAGUGGAAAGCUCCGGCGGUGAAGGAUGAGCUCGCGGCCUAUCAGCUUGUUGGUGAGGUAAUAGCUCACCAAGGCGAUGACGGGUAGCCGGCCUGAGAGGUGACCGGCCACACGUGGGACUGAGACACCGGCACGUACCG
RNAcentral lists this ribosomal RNA (220 nucleotides) under uncultured bacterium. Its description in RNAcentral is "partial 16S ribosomal RNA". It matches the Rfam family "Bacterial small subunit ribosomal RNA", at positions 118 to 339 of the family's 1533-position model. The record is from RNAcentral.